UCCCACAUGCAUAACCUAGCCUAAACAUUCAACAUAGCAUCAUAUAAACAUACAUGAGCAUCACAUAACAUACAUUGGGCAUAAAACCCACAUAAAUCCUAACAUGCAUAUCUACCCAUACUCUACCAUUAAAACCUUCAUAAAACUUCAAAAGACACUAGGAAAGUAAAGAUCUACACUUACCUCUUGAAGGUCGAGGGUUGCGUGAUCUCUAACUCGGAGGUGUGGAGAAUCCAAGCUCCAAGCUCCCAAAACUUCGAUCUAAGCUUUAAAACUCUUCAAAAUAGCCAUGGAACUCAUGAAAACAUUAAGGAGAUGAAGAAAAACAUGAAAACGGCUAAGGGAGGACAAAAACUCACCUGAGCUCGAGAAUUGGGAGAAAACUCGCCCAUUUUCGAUCUGAGGGCCCUUUAUAGAUGGCCUGGUCAGAGACCUUCGGCAGCCUAACGUGCCCCCUAAACUCAUGCAUGUUCGGCGGCCGAACUUGACUUUCGGCGGCCGAACCUUAGCUCGUUCAAACAAGACUUUCGGAGGCCAAAGGCGCUCCCGAAACCUUUCCAUGUUCGGCGGCCGAACUUCACUUUCGGCGGCCGAACCUGGCAAACGCCUCCUUGGUCUUUUCUUCUUAAAACUCAAUUCUUUUUCAUUUAAAACCAUGAAAUCAGUAAAAACCUUUUAGAAAACACAUUUUACCCCUCUAGAAGCCUCUGGCAUCUUCAGAAAUUCCUGAUUCCAACGGAGAUUCCGCCAGAAGGUAGGGAUUCUGAUGCCGAAAUCUAGCCGGGUAUUACAAAUUCCCUAGUAAUGCCACCAAAAACUUAUUGUGACACCGCAAGCAUACGGGUCACACAAGUAAUAUAAUGAUAGAGUAGAGUCUACAAAAUUCAAAAAUAAAACAAGCAAGUAAAAGAUAAUAAAAGAGAAAAUUAAAAGAAAAAAUGUCCAAUCAACUAAACAAUCAAUCACCUAAUAUCAAACAAAACUAAUUACCUAGCAAUGGUACCAAAAACUUAUUGUGACACCGUAAGCAUACGGAUCGCACAAGUAAUAUAAUGAUAGAGUAGAGUAUUAUUUCCACGGAGAAUUAGUAUUUAAGUACUAGGUUAUAGUUGUAGAAAUUAUUUGAAUUAAUCAAUUUAAUGCUAAAAUUAACUAAUUAAGCUAAAAAAAUGCAUCAAUUUAAUUAAAAUUAACUAAGAGAUGGCAAUUAAACUAAUUAAUUCUAGACUAGUAAGAGAAAUUAACUAUCAAUUAAAAGCAAUUAAACUAAGGAAUGGUAAAUUAACUAAAAUCAGCAAUUAAUUAAGAUUAAAAAUCAAAUAUGGAAGGGUGAUUUCAAAGGUUUGCAAUUCACACUCUAAUUAAUCUGGAUUUUUCUCAAUUUCUAUUAAUUAAUAGGUAUUUUAUUGCUUGAAGGAAUUAAUUCUAAAAUCACUUUAAUUCUCUUUCAAGAUAUCAAAGUUGUGUCUUAACUAAACAAAUUCCUACUUUUGUGGCUCUUGAUUUUAUAAAAAUCUAUUAGGUUCUUUGAUUAAUUGUAAAACCUUCUCAUACCCUUAAUCAAUUUCUUAAAUCUAAUAAUACAAGUUCUAAUCCUAGGUUUUUCACCAUUAAUAUUCAUCUUUUAAUACAUGAUUAAAAUAAUAUUUUG
Molecule: long non-coding RNA, 1651 nt
Filed under: Manihot esculenta (cassava)
Lineage: Eukaryota; Viridiplantae; Streptophyta; Magnoliopsida; Malpighiales; Euphorbiaceae
Description: long non-coding RNA (MESC_LNC004030)
Source: RNAcentral